GUCUUUGUGGCCAAUAGGGUGGCUGAGUAUCUCUCACAUGACUCCCUGCCCCUGUCUUUCACAUGGGCUGUAAUUUAGUUCAAUUCAGAACUGCAGAUAGUACGGCUUCCACAGGAGCAAGGGAUGCCUGAGCAGAAGUGGCUGAGUUCCGAGGGACUUUAUGAAGCGCUUCUCUGCCCUUCCCCCGGCAUGAAAAAACAGGGAUUCUGCACCUGCAUCAGGGACAGUCUGGUCAAAGGCUCUGCUCUGCCUCCGGGGACAAGGAACUAGAGCAAAUAACCAUUUUGAAAUUGCAUCUUAAAAUGACCAACAAAUUUAAAAUCAGAACUGAAGCAGUUUGAUCUACACCUCCCAUGACAGUUCCACAGAGACUGAAGAAACGUGAAUGUCUCCAAAGGAGAGUAGAGAGCUUGGUUAGUUGUACCCUGAAAUUAGAAUGUGAUUAAGAUACUGUAAAGUCAGCAGAAUUCUGAGCUUAGAGGUUGCUUCAGUGAACAUUCAACGCUGUCGGUGAGUUUGGAAUUAAAAUCAAAACCAUCGACCGUUGAUUGUACCCUAUGGCUAACCAUCAACUGCUCCGUGGCUCCCAGAAUUUGCUGAAGACAGAAAACCAAAGCAGGACACUCCAGAACUUUCUCUUCUUCAUGCAGAGAUUAUUUUUCAAAAGGUCACAAUCAACAUUCAUUGCUGUCGGUGGGUUGAGCUGUGUGGACAAGCUCACUGAACAAUGAAUGCAACUGUGGCCCCGCUUUGUGCUGUCACAAUCAACAACAUUCCACCUUUCAAAGAUGUCCUGAAUAUGUUGGUAUCACUCUUCACCGUCACCUUUCGGGUCUGUUUGAGAGUUCAGGUCGAUGUAUUCAAUCUAUAUCGUGUGAUCAGAUUUCAGUGAGAAAGGCACUAGUUCAAAACAGCAUGAUGCUUCUCUGUACUUCCGUAUGUUAUAAAUAGAGCACAUUUUUAUAAAAGGUAAACCAUUUUGUCCACAGGAUCAGUACAUCAUCAUCUGGGUUAACACACCUUCUUCUGUUACAAUGGGGUGAGAGGAAGACACCAAGAAGCACCCCAGGAUCCAUGCCACUGGCACCUCUGUCUUUAUAACAUUUAAAAGCACCCAUUCUCUACAUCUUUUGUUAAAUUUCCUGGUCCGAUUGGGAUAGGAACACCAAGUAAUUGCAUGUUCUGUUUCUCUAGUUGAGGACUCACUCAAAUAAUUCCUCUUGCCCUCGUAUUUGUUAAGGAAGGGAAAAAUGUAUAAAAUAACUUAGUGACUCUCAGAACACAUGAUCAUCAUAGAGUCGCUUCAUUUCCCUAACUAAAUUUCAAAACUCCAACAUAAAAUUUUACCCAUUUCCUUGUGUUUCUUUUUCCAAACACCUAACCUGAAUUGUUAAACCUACAACCAUGGCCAACAGUGAAGUCACACUCAUCUGACUUUUCAUGGGUAAGACUAUUAAUGUCAUUGUUUUGUUUAGUUGUUAUGUUUGAUCCUAGUGGUUUUAAGUUCACCAUUCAUAAUGAUUAUAGUUACAGUACUAAAUGCUUCUAGAGUGUCUGGAGCACCAAGCUGACUUCAAUGUUUAUUUAAAAAAAGAUCUCUCCAAUACAUGAUCCUUCCUGCUCCUUGACCUUUGCAAUCUCACAUCAGUCUCUUCAGCUCCCCUUAUAGAAGCCCAUUCCUGGAACCCUGCUCUAGCUUUCAUAAGAACCCUAAGACAUUUUAGCUCAUCCACUGUCUAAACUGCCACACUCUGCCUAUUGCUUUCUUCUAUUUUCCCAUUCUCUUAACCCCAAAGCAACUAUCCAAAAGCUUCAUUUUUGCUGGGGGAAAAAAAAAUCACACAAUCAUAAGGAAGAAUGUUAGGACAUAUUCAUGGGCCUUCAAAUGGCUUGGUCCCUCAUCUCCACCCUGUUAUUUCUUCCACCCUACCACCUAGUAGGUAGCUCAAGUGUGGACCUCCUUUCUCACAGCUCCCCUCCAACAUUCUGAUUUCAACUGAUGCACCGACCUCUUUUUUUGAUUGAGAAGCCUUUCCAUCUGAUUGCUCCCUCCACUUCUUCAGCGAUAGCCAACCAAUCCAUACACUUCUGUCCCCUGGUUGACUCACUUCUUCCCGUCUUGCUCAUGACACGGCUUACUCUGUGAUAUCCCCCUCUUCUCACCAUAUGGCUCUUUCCAUGUAACAUGUGGCAAGGUUCAGUUUUGUCUCUUCUCAGAAGAAAACUAAAGACAUUUAAGAAAAAACUUCUCUGGACUUGUUUCAGUCUCCCACUACUUAUAUCUUCUCUUUAAAAGGGUUUAAAAAUUGUAUGUGGCAGCCUGUACCCUUUCACCUCAACUAUCUAUAAUUUGGCUGCUUCUACCAUUCCUUUCUACCCCUUGUAUCUACUUUUUUUUUUAAUGAACUGAAUCACCAGUGGGUUCUGUAUUGCCAAAUAAAUAUCAGACUUUUCUGUGAGUUAUCCUUACUGAACUCUUAUGUGAACUGUCCUAAUAGUCCCCUAAUCAACUUCGUAUCUACUAUAAGCAAUCUGUUCGAUAUUUUCCCCACAUUAUUUUAAGAGGAAUAUUUUUAAAAAUCUAAUCAUGUUGUGAAACUAUAAUGCAACCUGAAUAAAAUAUCUUAGUAUGUUUAAUAGAUGGAUUAUUCUGGUAGAAAAAAUGUUAUGAAUAUUAGCCAAGUUGAGAAAAAAGAAAUUUAUGUAUUGCCAAAUAAAUAUCAGACUUCACAUAAAGAAUAUCACAUAAUCUCUCAAGAUUUAUUUCAGGACAUUAAGCAAUUGCAAGCAAUUUUUAAAAAAUAUUUAAAAUAGGUGUAAUUGGGACAUUUAUUUACCUUGAAAUGGUAAAGAUUUUUUUUUUCAAUAUUAAGACAAUUAAAGCAAAAAGACAAUAGUGGGAGGAUUUGACUACAUUAAACACCAAACUAUAAUUAGAAGGCAAAUAGACAAAUGGAAAGAAUAUGAGCAAUAGAUAAGACCAACAAUUUGUAUACUGAAUAUGUAAAAAACUUUAAUAUAAAAAGCAAUAAGGAAAACAUUAACAACUCAAGAAAUAAGCGAACGAUGAAAGUCAACAGAGUAGUCACAGAAUAAAUGUGAAUGGGUGAUGUGUAUAUGAUAUAAGCUUUUUCUAUUUCACUCAACCAAGAAUCCAGAUUUAAAACAAUAUGAUGUGAGUUUCUUUCGUCAGGCUAAGUGAUGAAGCAAAUGAUAGAGCCUCUAGUGUGGCUGACACGAAUGUUUUCAUACUAAACUAGGUAUGAUUGUUUUCUACUUACACUCACUUCUCAGCUUCACUUUUCUUCAAUUUUGAACAUGUGGCUUACCGUCCCUGCUGUGGCAUAUUGCACCAGAAAUACGCACCUGUCCUAAGGGGACCGAUCCAUAGGUGUGGCUGAGACUUUCAUAUUUUCCUUUUUAGGAAUUUGAACUAAAAACUGCUGAAUCCUUCAGGAGAUAGUAGAGGUGUUCCACAAGUAUAAUGCCAUGAGGAUCUUGGGAGGAAGAACAUUUCGCUUUCUUUCCCUGUCAGUAAAUCAGAUCUAGAAGAUCAGGGAGGAGCAGCAAAAAUAGGCAGGUAUUAGGUGUGUUGCAGCUCCUAAGGGAUGAGUGAAACAGAUUUCAUUCAAAAAGUUUUAGAUCUGGAGCUCAUUUUCCCAGCUCUCUUUGCUCUGCUUCUUGAUGUCAUUUUGGAUGCCUAUAGGACAUUUAAUGUCUUGGAAAAAAAGCCCUACUUGAUUAGCUGUGGCUGAUGUGCAUUCUUCACCUUCUCAAGGUUUUUUUUUUUGUGUUGUUUAUAUAUUUAUGCACUGACUGAGUUCUUAUAAAUUUUUGGAUAUUAACCCAUUAUCAGAUGUCUGGCUUACAAAUAUUUUCUCUCAACCCCUAGGUUGUCUCUUAACUCAUUUUUAUUUUUGCAGUGCAGAUUGUUCAUUUGAUGCAAUUCCAUAUUUUUUAUUUCUAUUUACGUUGUUUGUGCUUUUCAAGUUCUAGGCAAGAAAUCUCUGCCCAGACCAAUGUUGCAGAACUUUUCCUUAUGCUUCCUCUGAUAGUUUUAUAGUUUCACACCUAAGCCUUUUAUCCAUUUCGAGUUGAUUUUUUUCUAUGCUGUGAGAUAAGGAUCUAAUUGUAUUCUGUGGGAGUAUCAAUUUUCUCAGCAUGAUUUACUGAAGUGAUUGCCCUUUGCCAUUGUGUGUUCUUGGGAACUUGCCUGAAAAAUCAAUCGACCAGAAAUACUUGGGUUUGUUUCUCAACUUUCUGUUCUGUUCCAUUGGUUGAUGUGUCUAUUUUUAAUGCCAGUAACAUGAUGUUCUUAUUAUAAUAGCUUUAUAUUUUAAAUUUAGAAAGUGUGAUUUUUUUUCAAUGCAUAUAUGUACAUAUGUUUGAAGAUAUACAAAGCAGCAUUUUAAUUAUUUUUAUUGGUGCAUUAUAAUUGUAUAUAAGAGGUAGUAUUUAUUGUCCCAUAUUUGUAUAUGUAUAUAACAUAACUUAAUCAAUCUCAUUUCCUUCUACCUUCCUUUUAUUCCCUUCCUUCCUCCCCAAUCCACUUGCCUUACGCUGUUAAUCUUCCAUCACUAUUAUUAUCUAUAAUUAGUGUGCUAUAAUUAUACAUAUACUUACAUAUGUGCUAUGAUCUAUAUAUACUAUAAUUUUACACACACACACACGCACGUGCACACACACACACGAUUCAUUGUGAUAUAUCUGUAUAUGGUGAUAGCAAAAUUUGGUAGAUUUCAUUCCCCCAUACCUCCCUAUUCCAUCCUGUCCUUUCUCCCUCUCAAUCUCCUUCCUCUACUCUAUUGGUCUCCCUUACAUUUUCAUAAGACCCUGUCCCUUUUCUAUUCCCUUGUUUCUUCUCUGUAUAUAGUUUCCACAUAUGAGAGAAAACAUUCAACCCUUGGCUUUCUGAGUUUGACUUAUUUCACUUAGCAUGAUGUUUUCUAGUUCCAUUUAUUCAUCUUUAAAUAACAUAAUUUCAUUCUUCUUUGUGGCUGAGUAAAACUCCAUUGUGUAUAUAUACUAUGUUUUCUUUCAUUCAUCUUUUGACAGAGACCUAAGCUGGUUCUAUAACUUGGCUACUUUGAAUUGGGCUGCUACAAACAUUUGUAUGCAUGUAUCACUCUAAGUAUGCUGAUUUUAGUUCUUUAGGAUAAAUACCAAAGAAUGAAAUAUCUGGGUCAUCUGGUGAUUCUAUUUUUUUAAUUGAGGAAUCUCUAUUCUGCUUUCUUAAGUGGUUGUACUAAUUUGCAGCUCCACCAACAAUGUACAUUAUUUUAAAAAUUUAAUAAUAGAAGCAAGCUACCUGUCUAAAUAUGGGGAAUGAGGCAGUGAAUAAUGACAUAUCAUAUAACAGGAAGUAAUAAUAAGUCUAAGAUUUAGAUUUGUUUUAAUGAAAGAAGAGUCUGCUUGUAAUUAAAUAAAAAAUUUUUCAAAAAUCACACUGAGGUUUAAAUCCAAGUUUAGUAGAGUAGCAAUCAUGAGGAAAUUAAUUCACUUUCUUAAGACUCUAUUUUUUUUCAACUGUGUAACUGGUAUAAUAGUCCAUACCUGAUAGUAUUGUUUUCAGGAUAAAUGAAAUAUUUCAUGUGAUCACUUUAGCAUUGUGUUUACCACUUAACGUUUGGUCAUUUUUCUUCUCAUAUUUAUUUUAUCUUCUAUAUUUCUAAUAUAAAAAUUUGUUGCUUUUAUCCUUUUAUGUAAUUGAAAGCCAUUAAAAGAUUGUCUUUUUUUAAAAAAAAUUCUCAUUAUUAAAUUUCAAAUUCUUUUGUUUAGUGAAAUAAAAGACCUACAGCCUGUUGGAAUUCCAAAACCCUCGAGCAUUGACAACAGUAUUUAAAAUAUUAAUUGUUAUAAGUCUUUAUUCUGAUUUAAAUACACACACAUAAACACAUACAUACAAACUACAUUGUGAGAGUUUUACAAAAGUGCUUUAUGUAAUGUCAUCUUAAUUCUAAAUAUGAUGAUAAAUUAAAAUCCGAAAACUUAAAGUAAAUAUAAGGAAGCUACUUUGAAAUGUUAAGUCUAUUAUUUACUGAUCACUUAUAUUUUUAAAAAAGAGUCUACAUGCUUUAUAUAAAAUAAGAUAAAAUUUCUUUUAAAAAUUUCUUUUAAUAAUGUAAUUUUAAUAUAUAUAAACUUGAAUUCAUGGGAUAAGAAAACAUUAAAAAUUGUAUUAUUACUCAUUUGAUUUUGAAUGUUGCCUUUGAUUUUUAUAACGCAUUACUUUUAUCAGUUAUAAGCUUUCUCAGCUUUUGAAUGAAAGAUGGGAAGAAAGAAUUCGGGCACAACUCACAUACCAGAAUGUGCUCUUAAGUAAUAUUGGGCUUCAGGUACUCAAGUCAAUAACACCAAGAUAUAAGGAAGGUAUAUGGAAAAUUGAAAUGUAUUCAAAUAUGCAAAGAAAGUAUUGUUAUAGUUGGGAUAUUUAAUGAAUAAUUAUUCUUCAGAUUGUUCAGACAGAGGAGAUUCUCUAAUGCCUAUUUGGCAUUUUCUUCAAGAUCAGUCAUUUGUAAACUUCUUAAGAACUUUCUUUAAUUUCUAACUAAUUUUACCUCUCCAUUUUUUUUUAAUUUGCACCUAUUUCUCUGUGCUUUAUUUUAUUUUGUUUUAAGUUGAUAAAAUGCACUUAUUUACUGUCCUAAAAUGAUACAGGUCUUAGUUUACAAAAAAAAAAAAAAAUCAUAAUACCAGUUAUGCUUAAGUUUUGGUGAGUUUGCAAAAGAAAGUUAAAUGGAAUUCUAAUUUACUUUGUUAAAUACACAAUAAUCCAGGUACAUUGUCUUUUUUAGUCCUCACAAAAACCCCUCGAGAAAGAUUUUUUUUUAAAUGGGACAAGAUAGUAAUAAUAUGCGCAAUGUCACAGAACUGGUACGAAGGUGGUUUAAGCUGUACUGUGCGGUUCGUAUUCAAAUUUUGAGACUCUAGCUUCUAGUGAAUAACUUUUCUAAAAAAAAUAAAGCUAUAAUAUAUUCCUUUUAAAACAGAAGCUCAGUCUGAAUUUUCUUUCUCUGGGAUUUAGGUUAAAUGUGAAGGCAUGACUGAAUAAUAAGGUUUGUAUUCACAGACUCUAUGUUUGGAAAGAUGACACUAGAAUCAGAUGACUUAGACUGAUUUUUCUUUUUAUAAGUGAAAAUAAUCUCCAAGUCAGAGACUUUACUCAUUUCUUUUUGUUGUUGUUUUGUUUUGUUUCUUUUGCUUUUCUAAACUGAGAACCAAGAACAAUGUUAAACAUGUUGUAGGAGCUUAAUAAAUAUUAGUUGAAUGAGUAAUUCAGAUACCGAACAUAUCUGUUCAGUAAGCAGCAUCUACAGUGACUACCUUAUAUAAUCCCAUGCUUUAGGCCAGAUGUUGUGAAUUGUGGAUUUCUCAGAAAACUACACUUACAAUAGUUGCAUGUAUUUUUAGACUGUGGAGUCCUAACAUUUAUUUAUAUUUUUAUAAUAUGUGAGUUUAGUCACUCUAUUUCUUCAAAUAUAAGAAACUACUAAUGGUAAAAUAAACCAUCCGUGUGUGAGGAAGAAUUGAAAGGAAAGGAGGGAGGGAAAGGAAGGAAAGAAGGAAAGACAGAAAGAAGGAAGGGAAAGAAAGAAGGAAGGCUGCACAUUCUAAUUUUCAAACAUCAUUCAUUGUAAAACACAUCUCUGUUUUAGAAAUGUUAACGUGAAAAAGACGAAUCUUAGAAUUCAUGUUAUACAGUAUUUAUUUAUCAACAUUUAUGGGCUGCAUUGUUAUAUUAAACAUGAAAGAUAAUUAAGCCUGAAAAAGUGAUGCAUGUAAAAAUAUUAUGGAAAAGUUUUGGAAAUAAUUUAAUUUGGAAUGCUUUCACUUUACAGGAAUGUUAAAGAUUUCUAUGACUAUAAGUUAAGGCUUAGUAAGAAGAGAUGACAUUUAUGUAUCCGUCAAACUUGUGUUUCUACAAAUCCUUUCUUACUUUACCCAGUGGUGACACAAUCUAAUUUCAACAGAUCUUAAUCACAUUUUUCAAGUCACUCUCCUGCCCUUUUUGGACAAAUUUACUCAUUCUUCCUGCUUGCUCCCUCUAAGAAAGAGACCAUGAAUAUGUUCAGAGUUUCUUAUCCAGCCCCUACAAAUUUUCCUGAAACAUCAACACCAAGUAAUAAGAAUAAAAGAUUUCACUGUGUUCAGUUCCUGAGUCUC
Marmota monax (woodchuck) is the source of this 8163-nucleotide long non-coding RNA. RefSeq lists it as uncharacterized. Lineage: Eukaryota; Metazoa; Chordata; Mammalia; Rodentia; Sciuridae. The transcript has 3 exons. The record is from RefSeq and is a predicted model, not a curated record.